CCUACGGGUGGCAGCAGUGAGGAAUAUUGGGCAAUGGAGGAAAGUCUGAACCAGCAAUGCCGCGUGAAUGAAGAAGGUCUUCGGAUUGUAAAGUUCUUUAGUCCGGGAAGAAUAAAAUGACGGUACCUGAAGAAUAAGCUCCGGCUAACUACGUGCAAGCAGCCGCGGGAAUACGUAGGGAGCAAGCGUUGUUCGGAAUUACUGGGCGUAAAGGGUGCGUAGGCGGUUAUACAAGUGAGACGUGAAAUACCCAGGGCUUAACUCGGGUGCUGCUUCUAAAACUGUAAGACUUGAGUGCAGUAGAGGUUAGUGGAAUGCGUGGUGUAGCGGUGGAAUGCGUAGAUAUUACGAGGAACACCAGAGGCGAAGGCAGCUAACCGGACUGCAACUGACGCUGAGGCACGAAAGUGUGGGGAGCAAACAGGAUUAGAUACCCGGGUAGUC
Molecule: ribosomal RNA, 444 nt
Filed under: uncultured bacterium
Lineage: Bacteria
Description: partial 16S ribosomal RNA
Rfam family: Bacterial small subunit ribosomal RNA
Source: RNAcentral